UGCUUUGAGUGGAGUGUCCAGAAAAGCGCUUUAUAAGUUCAAAUCACCACUUCUGUACUAGAAUCACCACAUCUGUGCUGAAUUGCUGAAAAUGCUGAAGGUACUGCUUUUCCUGACUCUCUGUGGUCUCAUCAUGGAGCCUGUUACAGGCAUAAUACGUGACACCUUCCAAUGCAAGGCAGACCGGGGAGACUGCCGGCGUUCAGGAUCCUGCUUUACAUAUGAAAAGUGGAUAGGAACCUGCAACAAUGGACUCUGGGCCUGCUGUAAACAAAAAUGAAAAACAUCAUAGAACAACCAGAUUCUCAUGUGCCUUCAUUAACACUGAACCAAACACAAGUUCAACCUGUUGGUUUUCUUGCUUUGAGAAUUGACAUGACUUGUAUUUAACAAGACAUGCCUGUUGUAUUCUGUGUUAAUAAAUGCUUUCAUUGAAAUGCC
Lepisosteus oculatus (spotted gar) is the source of this 441-nucleotide non-coding RNA. Lineage: Eukaryota; Metazoa; Chordata; Actinopteri; Semionotiformes; Lepisosteidae. The record is from RefSeq and is a predicted model, not a curated record.